UUGUGGUUGUGGUAAUUGUUC
RNAcentral lists this small nuclear RNA (21 nucleotides) under Arabidopsis thaliana (thale cress). Its description in RNAcentral is "snRNA_13761". Lineage: Eukaryota; Viridiplantae; Streptophyta; Magnoliopsida; Brassicales; Brassicaceae. The record is from RNAcentral.